RNAcentral lists this ribosomal RNA (260 nucleotides) under uncultured bacterium. RNAcentral's name for it is "partial 16S ribosomal RNA". It matches the Rfam family "Bacterial small subunit ribosomal RNA", at positions 524 to 783 of the family's 1533-position model. The record is from RNAcentral.
UACGUAGGUGGCAAGCAUUAUCCGGAUUUACUGGGCGUAAAGGGUGCGUAGGCGGAUUUUUAAGUGAGAUGUGAAAUACCCGGGCUCAACCUGGGGGCUGCAUUUCAAACUGGAAAUCUAGAGUGCAGGAGAGGAAAGUGGAAUUCCUAGUGUAGCGGUGAAAUGCGUAGAGAUUAGGAAGAACACCAGUGGCGAAGGCGACUUUCUGGACUGUAACUGACGCUGAGGCACGAAAGCGUGGGGAGCAAACAGGAUUAGAA